Molecule: non-coding RNA, 246 nt
Organism: Vicia faba (fava bean)
Lineage: Eukaryota; Viridiplantae; Streptophyta; Magnoliopsida; Fabales; Fabaceae
Source: the annotation of a GenBank genome assembly
AUGUUGAAGUUUAUUGUGUUAUGUCGCAUAAGUUAUUAUAUUAUAUUAUAUUUAUACCUAGAGUCCAAUGGUGCGAGAGUAUUAUCUAUUUUAUUAUUAUUUUCAAUUGCGUUUAUCAAUAAAAAAACUAAAUUUUUUUUGAGAUUUAUAUCAAUUUUUUUGUGUGGUUUGUUGCAGAUUUUGGUUUUUCUCUAUUUGAUUUGCGAAUCUUUACACAACGGUUUUGAAUAUGAACACCCACAAUAA